Molecule: ribosomal RNA, 497 nt
Filed under: uncultured bacterium
Lineage: Bacteria
Description: partial 16S ribosomal RNA
Rfam family: Bacterial small subunit ribosomal RNA
Source: RNAcentral
GAUGAACGCUGGCGGCGUGCCUAAUACAUGCAAGUCGAGCGAACAGACGAGGAGCUUGCUCCUCUGACGUUAGCGGCGGACGGGUGAGUAACACGUGGAUAACCUACCUAUAAGACUGGGAUAACUUCGGGAAACCGGAGCUAAUACCGGAUAAUAUAUUGAACCGCAUGGUUCAAUAGUGAAAGACGGUUUUGCUGUUACUUAUAGAUGGAUCCGCGCCGCAUUAGCUAGUUGGUAAGGUAACGGCUUACCAAGGCGACGAUGAGUAGCCGACCUGGGAGGGUGAUCGGCCACACUGGAACUGAGACACGGUCCAGACUCCUACGGGAGGCAGCAGUAGGGAAUCUGCCGCAAUGGGCGAAAGCCUGACGGAGCAACGCCGCGUGAGUGAUGAAGGUCUUCGGAUCGUAAAACUCUGUUAUUAGGGAAGAACAAAUGUGUAAGUAACUAUGCACGUCUUGACGGUACCUAAUCAGAAAGCCACGGCUAACUACGUG